GCCACCCUAGCUCAGCGGCAGAGCAGCUGUUUUGUAAACAGCAGGUCGUCGGUUCGAAUCCGACGGGUGGCUCAA
RNAcentral lists this transfer RNA (75 nucleotides) under Patescibacteria group bacterium. RNAcentral's name for it is "tRNA-Thr". It matches the Rfam family "tRNA". From Rfam's summary of the family: Transfer RNA (tRNA) molecules are approximately 80 nucleotides in length. The record is from RNAcentral.